This 490-nucleotide ribosomal RNA is filed under the name uncultured bacterium. Its description in RNAcentral is "partial 16S ribosomal RNA". It matches the Rfam family "Bacterial small subunit ribosomal RNA", at positions 30 to 507 of the family's 1533-position model. The record is from RNAcentral.
AUUGAACGCUGGCGGCAGGCCUAACACAUGCAAGUCGAACGGUAACAGGAAGAAGCUUGCUUCUUUGCUGACGAGUGGCGGACGGGUGAGUAAUGUCUGGGAAACUGCCUGAUGGAGGGGGAUAACUACUGGAAACGGUAGCUAAUACCGCAUAACGUCGCAAGACCAAAGAGGGGGACCUUCGGGCCUCUUGCCAUCGGAUGUGCCCAGAUGGGAUUAGCUAGUAGGUGGGGUAACGGUUCACCUAGGCGACGAUCUCUAGCUGGUCUGAGAGGAUGACCAGCCACACUGGAACUGAGACACGGUCCAGACUCCUACGGGAGGCAGCAGUGGGGAAUGUUGCGCAAUGGGCGCAAACCUUAUGCAGCCAUGCCGCGUGUAUGAAGAAGGCCUUCGGGUUGUAAAGUACUUUCAGCGGGGAGGAAGGGAGUAAAGUUAAUACCUUGGCUCAUUGACGUUACCCGCAGAAGAAGCACCGGCUAACUCCGUG